AGUUAACCAGCCAAGCAGGCAACCCAGUCAUUGUAUAGCCUGACUGACCGAGCAAACGGAGAUAGUUGUGCAGUGCCCAACAAAGUAGAACUUGUGAUUUGUUGAUUUGUUCUAUAGAUUCGCUCAAGAAUGAUGAGAAUAGUGCGUGCAUAGAUGUGGAGGGUUUGGAAAUAGUGCUGUGGAAAUAAUGAUGGAGUAGAUGCAUUGCAAUGAGAUCGGCCUUUCGUUCCUACCACAAUUGCUGUCGGGUCCAUAAGGAGCCCGCGGCGCGAGGAUCAUGCGGCCAGCGAUGGGAGGGCCGACAUGUCGUCGGUGGAUAAUUCUGCGUCUGUCCAAGCGGGCCCGCUAAAACCAACCGCCGUGGGAUACACCUAUAUACUUACGCUCACACAACACUAGGAAUAAGUAUCUAACCAGUAACGUAAGUAAUAAAACCUUCUACUAAUUAUUUGAAUGUGAA
This is a long non-coding RNA of Armigeres subalbatus, 460 nucleotides long. RefSeq lists it as uncharacterized. The transcript has 3 exons. The record is from RefSeq and is a predicted model, not a curated record. NCBI's taxonomy places the organism in Eukaryota, Metazoa, Arthropoda, Insecta, Diptera, Culicidae.